GCAGAAGGCAUUCGAUAUGAAAUGAAUGGCCACAUCCGCGGAAAACGUUCCAGAGAGGGUUAACUCUUUCGCAGCUGAUCAAAUCGCACUUUCUAUGACAGGGAAUAUAUAAAGUGUCAAUUCGCUUUCUGCUGUAAUUUGGCUUUCUGGGUGGAACAAAUGCAGAUUGGAAGAAAUGGAGUUCAUGCUUGCAAGCAUCAAUUUCUUUAGCUUUGCGUGAAAUUUCAUCAGCUGUAUCAGUUUCUUUGGUUUGUUUUCUCAAGACUGAGUGAAAGUUUUCCACUGGAUACUCAUCGAAUGCAGAACAUCGAGAGAAUAAGAUCCCUGAUCAAUGUCCAUCCGCCAUAAAUGAUUUCAAGCAAUAGAGAUGUACGCCAUGGUUUUGGUUUCUUAGCCAGCUUUGCUUUUUUCCCAAAGAUGAAAGCAUAAAGGAUGUGCAACAAUUCCAAGAUUCCGUAGAGAUUCAAGCCCUUGUUUGCUGAUUCCAAACUGCUGCAGUGUCCUGGAUAGUGUGACUUGAAAUGAGUUGCAUUUUUGUGAUUACAUUGGAUCCAAUGUUAUGGCUUCUUGUAUGGAUGAAUAUAAUUUAUCAGCACCAACAUCUUUGCACAUAAUCUCAAACACAUCAGGAUCCAUUUCAGGCUCUGCCAAUUUUGUUAUGACAGAUUCUUGCCUGUUCAUCUCGUUUUUAGCAGAAGAUUCCAAUACCACAAGCUAAAUUACAAGUGUGCUUAAUUGACUUUUUUUUCUCUGAGGGCCAUACUAAUGGCCAUAAGGUAAUUAUAUGGUUUCAGCUCUUCACCUACACACCCCACCCACUUAUUUCUAAAAUGUAAAAGUAUGGGCAUUUACAAUGUGAGGGCCCAGAGUAUGUUGUCAUUCUGUAAUAACGGAUUUUCUUUGAUAAUUACAGCAAGUUCACUGAUCAGUUUAAUGCUUUUUGUAGGUCAUACCUGGCUUUUCACGUUGUUUUUCAACUCGUCGGCUUGUUGUUUAGGAAGCAAUCGCGUAAAUUUCCUUUUCGUGAAGCAUUUGUGCAGGCAUGUUGCACAUAGAUUCUGGAUUCCAUAAGACGAUUUUUCGCCAAGUUCUUCCUUAACAUAUUGCUCAAAAACUACUGAAAUUACAAGCAGGCCACGAUUUCUUAGAUUUAAAACCUUUUCUCCUUCACGCCCCGACCAUUUUUUAUGAAACGGAUUGUUGCAUUGCUUUUUAAAUUUUGGCAUUUUGACAGACUUUAUUCACUUUAACAAUUUGUAGUAUCCUUUUUGCAUACGCUGAGAAAAAAGAAACAUUUUCGGAAAAAGCGCGCGAUUUUCCCCGCUGUAUACGAUAUAAUAUUCAUAAUAUUUUAAAAAGUAAGCAAAGCAAUAUUUGUUAGUUAUAAUGUAAAUAUACACUCUUUGUCAUAUAUUAUUUAGUUAACGUCUUGGUAACCAUUAUUUUUUAGAGAAAUCAGUUUGUAAACAAUGCAAUUUCUGUAGAGUCUAGAGACAGGACUGGUGAUCUACACUGGUCAUGCCGUGACAAUUCAAACAUAAAUAAUUUUCGCUCCAGGACGAUUCUGGAAAAAUCCGACGACAAAAUUGUAGAAAAGGAAUUGCUUUAUCAGAUUCUAGUGUUUUAAGAUUGAAAAACUAAAUAUUGACUGCUGCAGAAGGCUUAGAACAGGGUGUUAUGAUUUCACUCCUUCUGUUUACAUUUUGCAAAUUCCACGUAAUCUGAUUGGUCUAGAGACCAAAAUGUCAACAAACGCCCUGAUUGGUCAACAUUUUUCCC
Molecule: long non-coding RNA, 1779 nt
Organism: Dendronephthya gigantea
Lineage: Eukaryota; Metazoa; Cnidaria; Anthozoa; Malacalcyonacea; Nephtheidae
Exons: 6
Source: RefSeq, a predicted model, not a curated record